Molecule: ribosomal RNA, 253 nt
Filed under: uncultured bacterium
Lineage: Bacteria
Description: partial 16S ribosomal RNA
Rfam family: Bacterial small subunit ribosomal RNA
Source: RNAcentral
UACAGAGGGGGCAAGCGUUGUUCGGAAUUACUGGGCGUAAAGGGCGCGUAGGCGGCCUUCUAAGUCGAACGUGAAAUCCCCGAGCUCAACUCGGGAACUGCGUCCGAUACUGGCAGGCUUGAAUCCGGGAGAGGGAUGCGGAAUUCCAGGUGUAGCGGUGAAAUGCGUAGAUAUCUGGAGGAACACCGGUGGCGCAGGCGGCAUCCUGGACCGGCAUUGACGCUGAGGCGCGAAAGCCAGGGGAGCAAACGGG